AUAUAAAUUGUCCGCGUUCUGCGGUGUUUUCAUGUCUGCGACGCGGACAAUUUAUAUGG
RNAcentral lists this non-coding RNA (59 nucleotides) under Blattella germanica (German cockroach). The record is from RNAcentral. Lineage: Eukaryota; Metazoa; Arthropoda; Insecta; Blattodea; Blattellidae.